This 677-nucleotide ribosomal RNA is filed under the name uncultured Alphaproteobacteria bacterium. RNAcentral describes it as "bacterial SSU rRNA". It matches the Rfam family "Bacterial small subunit ribosomal RNA", at positions 35 to 772 of the family's 1533-position model. Lineage: Bacteria; Pseudomonadati; Pseudomonadota; Alphaproteobacteria. The record is from RNAcentral.
GCUGGCGGCAGGCUAACACUGCAGGUGUAAGCGCGCCUUCGGGUGAGCGCUGGACGGGUAUAGUAACGCGUGGGAACGUGCCCUUCUCUACGGAAUAGCCUCUGGAAACGGAGAGUAAUACCGUAUACGCCCUUUGGGGGAAAGAUUAUCGGAGAAGGAUCGGCCCGCGUUAGAUUAGGUAGUUGGUGGGGUAACGGCCUACCAAGCCUACGAUCUAUAGCUGGUUUUAGAGGAUGAUCAGCAACACUGGGACUGAGACACGGCCCAGACUCCUACGGGAGGCAGCAGUGGGGAAUCUUAGACCAAUGGGGGCAACCCUGAUCUAGCCCUGUCCGCGUGAGUGAUGAAAGGCCUACGGGUCAGUACAGAUCUUUCGCCCUUGUGAUUGAUUAUUGACAGUACCCCAGUUAGAGAAAACCCCGGGUUAACUCCCGUUGCCAGCAAUACGCUGGAAUAAGGAGGGGGUUAGCGGUGGUCGGAAUUACGGGGCGUAAGAGCGCGUAAGAGGUUUAAAAAGUGCGGGGUGAAUCCCAGGGGUCAACCCCGGAAUGGCUCCAAAAUGUAGUUUGAGUCGAGAAGGUGAUGGAUUCCGGUGUGAGGUGAAAACGAAUAUUCUGAGGACCCAGUGUGUAAGCGGUCCUGGGUGAUAUGAAGCUAGGUGGAAGUGUGUGAGCAAA